This 565-nucleotide ribosomal RNA is filed under the name uncultured Glomeromycotina. Its description in RNAcentral is "SSU rRNA". It matches the Rfam family "Eukaryotic small subunit ribosomal RNA", at positions 548 to 1114 of the family's 1831-position model. The record is from RNAcentral. Lineage: Eukaryota; Fungi; Glomeromycota.
UUGGAGGGCAAGUCUGGUGCCAGCAGCCGCGGUAAUUCCAGCUCCAAUAGCGUAUAUUAAAGUUGUUGCAGUUAAAAAGCUCGUAGUUGAAUUUCGGGAUCAAUUAAUUGGUCGUGCCUCUGGUACGUACUGAUUUUAUUGGUUUCUCCCUUCUGACGAACCAUGAUGUCAUUAAUUUGGUGUCGUGGAGAAUCAGGACUGUUACUUUGAAAAAAUUAGAGUGUUUAAGGCAAGCUAACGCUUGAAUACAUUAGCAUGGAAUAAUGAAAUAGGACGUUUGACCCUAUUUUGUUGGUUUCUAGGAUCGACGUAAUGAUUAAUAGGGAUAGUUGGGGGCAUUAGUAUUCAAUUGUCAGAGGUGAAAUUCUUGGAUUUAUUGAAGACUAACUACUGCGAAAGCAUUUGCCAAGGAUGUUUUCAUUAAUCAAGAACGAAAGUUAGGGGAUCGAAGACGAUCAGAUACCGUCGUAGUCUUAACCAUAAACUAUGCCGACUAGGGAUCGGAUGAUGUUAAUUUUUUAAUGACUCAUUCGGCGCCUUACGGGAAACCAAAGUGUUUGGGUUC